RNAcentral lists this ribosomal RNA (231 nucleotides) under uncultured bacterium. Its description in RNAcentral is "partial 16S ribosomal RNA". It matches the Rfam family "Bacterial small subunit ribosomal RNA", at positions 118 to 346 of the family's 1533-position model. The record is from RNAcentral.
UGAGGAACAUGACCUUCGGCGGGGGAUAGCCGGCCCAACGGCCGGGUAAUACCGCGUACGACCACAUGGGGACAUCCCUGAGUGAUGAAAGCAGCAAUGCGCCGAUGGAGUGCCUCGCGGCCUAUCAGCUAGUUGGUGAGGUAACGGCUCACCAAGGCGACGACGGGUAGCUGGUCUGAGAGGAUGGCCAGCCACAUUGGGACUGAGACACGGCCCAGAUCCCGUACGGGG